AGCUAUUAGGUUGGUAGAAAAGUAAUUGUGGUUUUCCACAUUACUUAAAAACAGUGGCCAAAACCUCAAUUACUUUUGCACCAACCUAAUA
This 91-nucleotide microRNA precursor is filed under the name Chlorocebus sabaeus (green monkey). RNAcentral's name for it is "miRNA (ENSCSAG00000024925.1)". The record is from RNAcentral. Lineage: Eukaryota; Metazoa; Chordata; Mammalia; Primates; Cercopithecidae.